CUGACCAGGUGAUGCCUGAGUGAUGGUGGCCGGCUCCGCUCCUGGGGGAGCUGAAACUGUGAUUAGGUCUCGGUUUGGGACGGGGGCCUGGCAUAAGCGACUCCACUGGGCCUGCUGUCUUGUUUUUAACUCACUCUAAACGGCCUGCUGCCGCUGUCAGAGCCUGGGGAGUCACAGAUUUGCAGACUCACCCUCUGCUUCAAGUCUGUGAUUACAAUACGACCCUGGUGGAGCAGACUCCCGAGGACCAGCCAUCUGCGGAGUUAGGCAGCCCCCUCUCCGUGGGACCAGGACGACACGGCCUGUGGCCCCAAGACGCUGCGAUUAAUAAGAUAAAUGUGUUUGGGUUUUGUCCCGGUUCCCGGCACCGAGCUCCUGAGACCUCAGAAAUCCCUGGGUGAUGGGGUUUGUCGUUCGUAAGAGGCCCCUUCCAACCACACCUGAGUUCAUGCUGGUGCGGUGACUCUGGGAGGGUGGGGCUCCUGGGCUCCGAGCACAUCUGGUGCAGGAGGGCGCCGCACCCCAGCUCGGCCGGCACAGAGGCUUCUGUGCUAGGGACCCUCUGGGCCUCGGUCUACGUGCCUCUUCAUCUGGCUGUUCACGCGCAUCCUUUAUAACAAGCCAGGAAACACGAGCAAGUGUUUCUCUGAGUUCUGUGAGUGGCCCUGAGUGGAAGGAGGGGGACACGGUGACGUCAUCUCAUGUAGCUCCUGACACUAAGGAGGGUUUCGGGACGAGAAGGGCUUGGGGCUCCCCAAACCCACCCCACUAACAGUGCUCAGCCCCCGGGCCCAGCCGCUCUGGGAGGACGCGGUGCAGGUCACCCCCUCCGACGGCCUCGGUGCCCUUUGUGCAGACCUACGAGCUCCCCUCGCUUCGGGCACGGCAGCUCCUCUGCAUCGCAAGGCUGUGUCCCGACCCCUGGCCCCCCACGCCCCUCGUUCCUCUCCUGGCCGUCUGCCUGGCGUCCCCGGGGGGUGCUCAGCUCCAGCCCACCUGGCCCACAGAACAGUUUAUUCCCUCUCUCCCGGGGCCCAGGGUGUCCUGGGAAGGCCUGCCUAUUGCUCCCAAGCACAGCCGCACCCCCAAGGGAUUCUCCCCCCACCCAGUGAGGCCUCCUGGAGGAUGGAGGAGCCUCCUCCACUGUCACUUGCUGACUGACUCUCCCCACACGUGGCCGUCCAGGGUCGGCCACACAUGCUGUGCUCAAUCCAGGCCCCACAGCUGCUUUCUGACAUGAAAUUCCUACCUCCUUCAUGAAACCCCUCAGAAAGGCAAGGAAGAGAUCUGUGAUGAGCAGGUAUUUUAUUUCCUUUUAUGAAAUUAUUUCCAGCUGAAUAAUGUUAGUAAAAAUUCCAAAGAGAGAAUACAACAAAAUGUAUUUAGUAACUUUUUUUUUUUUGCUGAGGAAGAUUUGCCCUGAGUUAACAGCUGUGCCAGCCUUCCUCUGUUUUGUACAUGGGUUGCCGCCACAGCAUAGCCGCCCAUGAGAAGUGUAGGUCUGUGCCGGGAAGUGAACACAGGCUGCCGAAGUGGAGCACGUCGAACGAACUCAACCACCAGGCCGUGGGGGUGGCCCCAGUAACUUCUUCCUAAGGUAUCCACUUUAGAGGUGUUUAGUACACAAAGGAGGGUAACGCUGAGUAAACAGCUGUGGGUAAAUACAUAAUCAUAGUUAAAAGAUAAACAGCAAAGACGCCUCGUUAGAAAGACAAGGAAGCGACACUGAAUUUGUAAAAUUCUAGAUGACGACUUUCUGGGGCGAAGCGUCUGAAACAGAAGCACCUGGAGAGUCUUCAAGGGUGAGGGUCCCCUCAGGGAGUGUGCGUGUGGCUCACAGACGCAAAGAGCUGACAGGAGGUGUCAGUGGACACAAAGCAUCAAAGCCGCCACCUAAAGGUUAAUGUGAAAUAUCCUUUGUUUUUACUUAGUUUUAUUUAAAGUCCCGACGUCCAGGAGCCCACCAUCUUCUGCAGUGAUGUCCCCCCGGAGGCUCGUGGGCCACCGUCUGUGGAAAUGACGGCCGUGUGUGCAGAGUGAACCCCUGCUCCAGCAGCUCUCCUCCGACUGGAGGGUCUCGGUGUCACGUGAACACACACCGACCGCUGUCACAUCCUCGGACACGGCCGUUCUCGGCUCUUCUCUGUGGAGCUGCCCGGGGAACGGCGUUCGGGGUGGUGUUACCCGUGGCCGUCUGGUGGAUCCGGGGCAAGGCCCUGCAGCUGAGCCGGGGCCUGCCGUCUGGGUCACAGGCUCACCAGCACCCAAUGGACAUGCAGGGAUUCAGCAGACAGCACCCAAUGGACGUGCGGGCGACUCCCAACGGACAUGCGGGGCUCAGCGGGCAGCACCUAACAGAUGUGCGGGGCUCAGCAGGUGGUUCUCUGAAGCUGCAGCCUGGAGGAGAUUCUGACCAUUUUUUCCAACACUUAAAAUCAUACCACUUGUGCCUCCUCCAGCAGAGUUUCUGGUCUAUGUAAAAAUAGCAACAACCCCCACUGCUUCUUAUUUUAAAAAGGGAACGCCCAGUGAACAUAUUUUUAUCUCCUCUGUCUGUCCUCGUGGUCUUUGCCAAAUGUUGCCUUGAGUGCUUUGUGGAACAAAGUAUAAAGAAAGAAAGAGGGGCCGGCUCCGUGGCCGAGUGGUUAAGUUUGCGCACUCCGCUGCGGCGGCCCAGGGUUCGGAUCCUGGGCCCGGACAUGGCACCGCUCAUCCGGCCGCGUUGAGGCGGCGUCCCACAUCCCACAACAAGAUGGACCGGCAACUAAGAUAUACAACUAUGUACAGGAGGAGUUUGGGGAGAUAAAGCAGAAAAAAAAAAAAAAAAA
Equus caballus (horse) is the source of this 2828-nucleotide long non-coding RNA. NCBI's taxonomy places the organism in Eukaryota, Metazoa, Chordata, Mammalia, Perissodactyla, Equidae. The record is from Ensembl.